Non-coding RNA from Mycena rosella, 115 nucleotides. The record is from the annotation of a GenBank genome assembly. Lineage: Eukaryota; Fungi; Basidiomycota; Agaricomycetes; Agaricales; Mycenaceae.
UCCGGUAUGGUGUAACGGUCAACAUUACCGCUUUUCACCGCUUUCUUACCUAAGCAGUUACGUAAGGAGCUAGUUUAAAGCGCGGUAGCUCGGGGUUCGAUUCCCCGUACCGGAA